This 1182-nucleotide ribosomal RNA is filed under the name Triticum aestivum (bread wheat). RNAcentral's name for it is "partial small subunit ribosomal RNA". Lineage: Eukaryota; Viridiplantae; Streptophyta; Magnoliopsida; Poales; Poaceae. The record is from RNAcentral.
AUGCGCAAGAAGGCUGCUGGCACCGGCGAGGAUCCCUUCCGCGUCCUCCCCGACGACCUGCUCGAGCAUAUCCUAUCCUUCCUGCCGGAGGAUGAUGCCCUGCAGACCUGCGUGCUCGACACCCAGUGGCGCGACCUCUGGAGGCGCAAAACCAGCCUGCACUUCAUGUUUGAGGACUGGUCAAGUUUCAGCCGCGAGCGUUUCACUCAGUUGGUGAAGCUGAUAAUCCAACUCAGGGGGGAGGCAUCUCUGACCGACUGCCAGAUUGAUCCCUGCAGUGGCGAGUACUAUAUCAAUUUCACCGAAGCCGAGCCGUUGAUUGAGUACGUUCUAAAGUGCCGGGUUGAGAAGCUCUCUAUUUGUGCUGGUGACAUUUGGUACGAAGGCAUACUACUGGAUGAGCGUUUCAUCUCCCGCCACUUGAGGACCAUAGAAUUUGGAGGAGUUGACCUCCUGGGUUACUCACUAGAUUUCUCGGCCUGCCCAGCAUUAGAGGAACUAAAAAUAAAAGGUUGCAACAUUGACCCAUGGGCAAUAUGUUCUGAAUCACUAAAGCAUCUGUGGAUCGGGGAUUGUGUCCUUUCUGAGGAAAUCCACAUUCCUAUUGCUGCCCCGCGCCUUAUUUCACUGGAACUAAGUAGUUUUCAGUGCUUGACUCCUUCCCUUGAAGCGAUUCCAUUACUGGAAAAAGCAUCUAUUUUGCUUGCGAGUUGGUGCUACGAUGUCUGUCAAAGUGUCGAGGAGGAUUUUAGUAAGAGAAAAGUAAGAGUUGAAUGCGGAUGUGCUAACGAGAAGUGUCUGCUUCUCAACGGAUUGUCCAAUGCUGUUGAAUUGAAAUUGAUUGCGGUGCCAAAAUUGCUUAUCUUCAAACGGGAUUUGGAAUGGUGCCCUAAAUUUGACAGAUUAAAGACUCUCACGCUCAAUGAGUGGUUUACGGCUACUGACCUAUUUUGCAUUCUCAAAAACUCUCCAAUCCUUGAGAAGCUCAAUCUUCAGCUUGGCAACACUAAGAAUUUUGUAGGAGCAACGGGAUCCAAACAAUCGUUCGCGUGUGCGUCCAUUUUGGCUGUCAACAUUGAAUGCAGAAGAGUUGAUGAGGGCGUUCGCAAAAUUUUGGAGGUCUUGAGUACAUGUGGCAUACUUCGUGAGCAGAUUAGCCUCAAGUGCCGAGAUCGCACUUAG